UUCGGCAGCCAUAUCACCCUGUAGCCCAAGACUGGUUGCCCACUGAAGCUAAGCAGGGCUGAGCCUGGUCAGUACCUGGAUUUCCCCGCAU
RNAcentral lists this ribosomal RNA (91 nucleotides) under Sinocyclocheilus anshuiensis. Lineage: Eukaryota; Metazoa; Chordata; Actinopteri; Cypriniformes; Cyprinidae. The record is from RNAcentral.